This is a long non-coding RNA of Aedes aegypti (yellow fever mosquito), 688 nucleotides long. RefSeq lists it as uncharacterized. The record is from RefSeq and is a predicted model, not a curated record. NCBI's taxonomy places the organism in Eukaryota, Metazoa, Arthropoda, Insecta, Diptera, Culicidae. The transcript is spliced from 3 exons.
UAGGGGCUAUUUUCGAAGAUGAAGAAGAAUUAUCAUUCAAAGAAGUCUCUUCACGCAAUUCUUUAUUCAUAAGGUCAUAUGAAUAAAACCGAGUACUUGCUCAUACUCAACACGAUUUAAGCAAAGUAAAGUCUCUGAGCAUUUACUCAAAACCAUAUGAAUAAAACGAUACUUUACUCAGAAAGAAAGCCAGCGGUGCACAAAGUGGUGUUUUUCUAUGGAAGUGCCUUUGCGGAUCUCAUCCGCAUUUUGCCGUACCAACUUGAAAAAGCCGUGUCGUCUUUUGCCGGCUGAUGACGGAGCCACAAACCCCGGGGGAACUCAACCGCCAGCUUCACUCCCUCCUGGGAUACGUAAAGGGAGAACACCGAUUCGAUGCGGCGCAAACGGAAUUCAGCGCUACCGAUGACCGUGAUCGGUCUUUUCGUAAAGCAAUCGGUGAGUGGUUAGCUACCGUGGCCUCCAGUGGAAUCGGUACCGAAGUGCUAGUCAAAGCACCAGCAGAAUGAAUAACGGCAGCAAGAUCUUCAGAAUCAGCUAAACGAGGCAAAUUCCGGUCGACACCAACGAAAACCGUUUCCAUCAUGAGGAGGAUCUUUUUCGAGAGGGUUUAGAACAUAAGAAAAAAAUAUAAACUAAAAUGUAAAAGCAAUCGUGAAAAUUUCUAAAAAGGGUGUGUUUCUCAAAA